GUGGCCGUGGCCGACUGGUUACGGCGUUCGCUAUGUAAGCGAAUUGUCCUGGGUUCGAUUCCCAUCUGCUACC
RNAcentral lists this transfer RNA (73 nucleotides) under Culex quinquefasciatus (southern house mosquito). It matches the Rfam family "tRNA". From Rfam's summary of the family: Transfer RNA (tRNA) molecules are approximately 80 nucleotides in length. Their secondary structure includes four short double-helical elements and three loops (D, anti-codon, and T loops). Further hydrogen bonds mediate the characteristic L-shaped molecular structure. tRNAs have two regions of fundamental functional importance: the anti-codon, which is responsible for specific mRNA codon recognition, and the 3' end, to which the tRNAs corresponding amino acid is attached (by aminoacyl-tRNA synthetases). tRNAs cope with the degeneracy of the genetic code in two manners: having more than one tRNA (with a specific anti-codon) for a particular amino acid; and 'wobble' base-pairing, i.e. permitting non-standard base-pairing at the 3rd anti-codon position. The record is from Rfam by way of RNAcentral. Lineage: Eukaryota; Metazoa; Arthropoda; Insecta; Diptera; Culicidae.